This is a long non-coding RNA of Neofelis nebulosa (Clouded leopard), 530 nucleotides long. RefSeq lists it as uncharacterized. The record is from RefSeq and is a predicted model, not a curated record. NCBI's taxonomy places the organism in Eukaryota, Metazoa, Chordata, Mammalia, Carnivora, Felidae. The transcript is spliced from 2 exons.
AGUUCCUUCUUAGAAUCAAUAUAAGAUGGAGAGAGAGAACUGUUCUUUCUGUUGGGGUUGCUAAAUCAGGUAUGCGGAAGAAUGAGGUACUUGGGAAAUCAUUUUUGGCCCCAUGGAAGAAGCUCUUAGGCAGUGGGAAAGAAGAAAGUCAGCAACAGAAAGAAGAACAAAGACAUGGAGAGACUGCUCUGCCAUUAUCUGAUACUGAAACCAUAUAAUAUCUCACAUAGUUUCGCAAUAAAAUUAAAUAAAAAAGCCACCCCUAGAAACUGAAAGGAAAAGGAAACAUAAGAACCGAACUAUGCCCAGAGCCUCUGGCACAAGCAGGAGAAGAGCUGUCUAAAUGGCUUUCAAGCACAGGUUUACUGGACGUUCCAAGUGAGAUACAGUUUGAAGAUGAACAGAGCUGCUGAAAAGUUAAGCCUAUUUCAUAUUUUGGAUGAUCAAUCAUAGUUUUGAUCUUACUAUUCGCAUUCUUGUUGAGCCAAUGGUUGUAUAUUUGAUAUUAAAGAACCAUUAGUUUUUUUUAA